AGAAGCAAAGACCGCGAGGUAGAGCAAAUCUCAAAAAAACAAUCUCAGUUCAGACUGCAGGCUGCAACUCGCCUGCACGAAGUCGGAAUUGCUAGUAAUCGUAGGUCAGCAUACUACGGUGAAUACGUUCCCGGGCCUUGUACACACCGCCCGUCAAACCAUGAGAGUUGGCAACACCCGAAGUCGGUAGUCUAACCGCAAGGAGGACGCCGCCGAAGGUGGGGUUGAUGAUUAGGGUUAAGUCGUAACAAGGUAGC
Molecule: ribosomal RNA, 257 nt
Filed under: uncultured bacterium
Lineage: Bacteria
Description: partial 16S ribosomal RNA
Rfam family: Bacterial small subunit ribosomal RNA
Source: RNAcentral